UGUCAAGGGAUGGGAAUCGAACCCACGACCUUCCGCUUACUGGGCAGAUGCCAUGACCACUAGGCUACCCUGUAC
Molecule: transfer RNA, 75 nt
Filed under: Cordylochernes scorpioides
Lineage: Eukaryota; Metazoa; Arthropoda; Arachnida; Pseudoscorpiones; Chernetidae
Description: tRNA-Thr
Source: RNAcentral